GMAGACGAACGCUGGCGGCGUGCUUAACACAUGCAAGUCGAACGAUGAACCUCCUUCGGGAGGGGAUUAGUGGCGAACGGGUGAGUAACACGUGGGCAAUCUGCCCUUCACUCUGGGACAAGCCCUGGAAACGGGGUCUAAUACCGGAUACGACACGGGGUCGCAUGACCUCCGUGUGGAAAGCUCCGGCGGUGAAGGAUGAGCCCGCGGCCUAUCAGCUUGUUGGUGGGGUGAUGGCCUACCAAGGCGACGACGGGUAGCCGGCCUGAGAGGGCGACCGGCCACACUGGGACUGAGACACGGCCCAGACUCCUACGGGAGGCAGCAGUGGGGAAUAUUGCACAAUGGGCGAAAGCCUGAUGCAGCGACGCCGCGUGAGGGAUGACGGCCUUCGGGUUGUAAACCUCUUUCAGCAGGGAAGAAGCGAGAGUGACGGUACCUGCAGAAGAAGCGCCGGCUAACUACG
Molecule: ribosomal RNA, 466 nt
Filed under: Streptomyces chattanoogensis
Lineage: Bacteria; Bacillati; Actinomycetota; Actinomycetes; Kitasatosporales; Streptomycetaceae
Description: bacterial SSU rRNA
Rfam family: Bacterial small subunit ribosomal RNA
Source: RNAcentral